AAAAAAUUAGUUAAGUAAAUAAUAUUAAAUUGUCAUUUUAAAGUCAUUAUAAAAUAUUUUUUU
This 63-nucleotide transfer RNA is filed under the name Therophilus festivus. RNAcentral describes it as "tRNA-Asp". Lineage: Eukaryota; Metazoa; Arthropoda; Insecta; Hymenoptera; Braconidae. The record is from RNAcentral.